RNAcentral lists this ribosomal RNA (253 nucleotides) under uncultured bacterium. RNAcentral's name for it is "partial 16S ribosomal RNA". It matches the Rfam family "Bacterial small subunit ribosomal RNA", at positions 524 to 776 of the family's 1533-position model. The record is from RNAcentral.
UACGUAGGGGGCAAGCGUUGUCCGGAUUUAUUGGGCGUAAAGAGCGUGUAGGCGGCCAUGUAGGUCCGUUGUGAAAACUCGAGGCUCAACCUCGAGACGCCGAUGGAAACCAUGUGGCUAGAGUCCGGAAGAGGAGAGUGGAAUUCCCGGUGUAGCGGUGAAAUGCGCAGAUAUCGGGAAGAACACCCGUGGCGAAGGCGGCUCUCUGGGACGGUACCGACGCUGAGACGCGAAAGCGUGGGGAGCAAACAGG